Molecule: ribosomal RNA, 941 nt
Filed under: uncultured archaeon
Lineage: Archaea
Description: bacterial SSU rRNA
Rfam family: Archaeal small subunit ribosomal RNA
Source: RNAcentral
UUCCGGUUGAUCCUGCCGGACCCCACUGCUAUCGGGAUAAGACUAAGCCAUGCAAGUCAAGCGUCUCCAAGCUAUGUUGGAGAUGCGGCGUACGGCUCAGUAACACGUGGUUAGUCUACCCUUGGGACGGGAAUAACUCCGGGAAACUGGAGCUAAUACCCGAUGGGCGGGAACGCCUGGAAUGGUCUCCCGCUGAAAUGGCGUUGAAAGCAUGCUUUCAACGUUGCCCAAGGAUGAGACCGCGGCCGAUCAGGUUGUUGGUGAGGUAACGGCUCACCAAGCCUAUAACCGGUACGGGCCCUGAGAGGGGGAGCCCGGAGAUGGAACCUGAGACAAGGUUCCAGGUCCUACGGGACGCAGCAGGCGCGAAACCUCCACAAUGCACGAAAGUGCGAUGGGGUUAUCCCGAGUGCCGUCUGAUGAAGAUGGCUUUUCAUUGGUGUAAUGAGCCAGUGGAAGAAGGGGAGGGCAAGACUGGUGUCAGCCGCCGCGGUAAUACCAGCUCCCCGAGUGGUGGGGACGAUUACUGGGCCUAAAGCGUUCGUAGCCGGCUUAACAAGUCUUCCGUUAAAUCUGGCGACCCAAUCGUCAGGCUGCGGGGGAUACUAUUAGGCUAGGGGGCGGGAGAGGUCGACGGUAUUCUCGGGGUAGGGGUGAAAUCCUAAGAUCCUGAGAGGACCACCAGUGGCGAAGGCGGUCGACCAGAACGCGCCCGACGGUGAGGGACGAAAGCUGGGGUAGCGAACCGGAUUAGAUACCCGGGUAGUCCCAGCCGUAAACGAUGCAUGCUAGGUGUUGGAGCGGCUACGAGCCGCUUCAGUGCCGCAGGAAAGCUAUUAAGCCUGCCGCCUGGGGAGUACGGUCGCAAGACUGAGACUUUAAAGGAAUUGGCGGGGGAGCAACACAUGGUGAAGGCUGCAGUUCAAUUGGAAUCAACGCGU